RNAcentral lists this long non-coding RNA (399 nucleotides) under Olea europaea (common olive). RNAcentral describes it as "long non-coding RNA (OEUR_LNC012425)". The record is from RNAcentral. Lineage: Eukaryota; Viridiplantae; Streptophyta; Magnoliopsida; Lamiales; Oleaceae.
UUACUGUUGAUCUCAAUUUUAGUAAUACUCGACUUAGGGAUGAAUACUUCAAUGGUUCAAAGAGAAUUACUGUGAUAAGACUUUCUGAAAUAUUUCAUAUGUGUCAAGAUCGAGAAGAUAAAUUUAAGUUGGGAUUAGUUAUGUUCGUCGAAUGCGUUUUAAAACCAACUAGAAGAUACAUCGAUUUCAGAACCCUUGGAAUUGUUGAACAACUUGAUGAGUUUUUUAUGUAUUCAUGGGACCGUAAGGCAUACUUUGUUUUAUUAAAUUCAUUACAAGAAUCACAGCUCGAAAGAGUACGAAGAAUACAACAAAAUAACCAAACAGACUGUAAAUAUUCAUUGCAUGGUUAUCCGCUCGCAUUCCAGGUAUUUUUCUUUCAUUGUUUUUUUCAUUACG